GUGGAAGGGGCAUGCAGAGGAGCGGCCAUGGCCCGUGGGAGCUUUGCUUGCCUUGUCUAUCGAUCUCCUCUGCCUGCCUCUUCCAUU
RNAcentral lists this microRNA precursor (87 nucleotides) under Triticum aestivum (bread wheat). RNAcentral describes it as "MIR528 microRNA precursor family". It matches the Rfam family "MIR528 microRNA precursor family". The record is from Rfam by way of RNAcentral. Lineage: Eukaryota; Viridiplantae; Streptophyta; Magnoliopsida; Poales; Poaceae.